This 257-nucleotide long non-coding RNA is filed under the name Medicago truncatula (barrel medic). RNAcentral describes it as "long non-coding RNA (MTRU_LNC007764)". Lineage: Eukaryota; Viridiplantae; Streptophyta; Magnoliopsida; Fabales; Fabaceae. The record is from RNAcentral.
UGUGUUUUGGACCAAACAAAAAAAAUUGGAUAUGAUUGGUGUGGCACUUACCACAUCAGGACCUUAACAGGUCCGCCCCCUGCUUGCCUGAAAACACGGGUGAGUUGGUGUAGUUUGAGAGAUGGUAUGUAGAGUAAAAUUACUUUUGUGCUGCUGGCCCAGAAAAUAAGGUGGUGAUGGAUGUUUGUUUUAUGUGAGAUAUUGUUCAAAAACCAAUUCGUAAACUUUUGCGAGAAUUUCUCUCUCGGCAUUUAGCA